CGUAUAGGACUAACUUAGUAUUAUUCAAAAUUCCUAUUCAAAAAUUUAAUAAUGAAAAUAGAAACAUAUCGGAUAUAAUUCAUCAUCCAAAUAAGAGAGAUCGAUAAAAAGUUCAAGUUACUUAGAAUAAAUAAUACCCAUUCAAAGGUAAAUUUGCUGCCAAUUUUUUCAAAUUCAAAGCUAUUUUUGAGUGAUUUUGGAAAAACUCGAUUGUGUAUUAAAUUGAAGAGAUGAUAGAAAUUGCCGAAAUUUGGAGAUCGUCAUGGUUUUGCUGCAUAAUCGAAUGCUUAUUUCCAGUCGCAAAAUCAAGCCGAAAAUAAGAUUAAAAUCCUGAGAAUGAUGAUUUGGGUAUGGAUGAUGACUAGUUUAAAGAUGGCCAGGAUUCCUCGGAGCAUAUCCUUUGCCAGAUCGUAUAGUUAAAUGUCAAGUUCAGAGCCUUAGACGCCAUCUUAAUAUGGUGAUGUUAACAAAUGGUGUGAAGCUCUCGUCCUCAGGAAAUCUGAAUCUUCUCUUGCCUUAUGAUACUCAGGCAAAUGCUGCUCAAAAGGCAAAACUCGAAUUCAUGACCUUUAUCCUUAAAUAAGCCACCCUUCCUAAACCGAAAAAAGUAAAUAGAAAUAAUCUAUAUUAUGUAACUGCUAUAAAUCAUCUUAAUAGCUUAGUUCUUACCGCACCUUCAGUGUUCUUCCAAUUUGAUGAAUCAAUAUCAGAUGUAUGCUUCUGAAUAGACUUUUUGGUCUUUUUCUUGCUGGUAUUUUUUUUUGGCUGCUUGUGCUUC
Molecule: long non-coding RNA, 778 nt
Organism: Spinacia oleracea (spinach)
Lineage: Eukaryota; Viridiplantae; Streptophyta; Magnoliopsida; Caryophyllales; Amaranthaceae
Exons: 3
Source: RefSeq, a predicted model, not a curated record